RNAcentral lists this ribosomal RNA (451 nucleotides) under uncultured bacterium. Its description in RNAcentral is "partial 16S ribosomal RNA". It matches the Rfam family "Bacterial small subunit ribosomal RNA", at positions 354 to 796 of the family's 1533-position model. The record is from RNAcentral.
GUGGGGAAUAUUGGACAAUGGGGGGAACCCUGAUCCAGCCAUGCCGCGUGUGUGAAGAAGGCCUUUUGGUUGUAAAGCACUUUAAGCGAGGAGGAGGCUACCGAGAUUAAUACUCUUGGAUAGUGGACGUUACUCGCAGAAUAAGCACCGGCUAACUCUGUGCCAGCAGCCGCGGUAAUACAGAGGGUGCAAGCGUUAAUCGGAUUUACUGGGCGUAAAGCGCGCGUAGGUGGCCAAUUAAGUCAAAUGUGAAAUCCCCGAGCUUAACUUGUGAAUUGCAUUCGAUACUGGUUGGCUAGAGUAUGGGAGAGGAUGGUAGAAUUCCAGGUGUAGCGGUGAAAUGCGUAGAGAUCUGGAGGAAUACCGAUGGCGAAGGCAGCCAUCUGGCCUAAUACUGACACUGAGGUGCGAAAGCAUGGGGAGCAAACAGGAUUAGAAACCCUGGUAGUCC